GACGAACCGAGCGAACGUUAUUCGGAAUCACUGGGCUUAAAGGGUGCGUAGGCGGGCACGCGAGUCAGGGGUGAAAUCCCGGGGCUCAACCCCGGAACUGCCUUUGAUACUGGGUAUCUCGAGUCCGGAAGAGGUGAGUGGAAUUCCGAGUGUAGAGGUGAAAUUCGUAGAUAUUCGGAGGAACACCAGUGGCGAAGGCGGCUCACUGGUCCGGUACUGACGCUGAGGUGCGAAAGCGUGGGGAGCAAACAGG
RNAcentral lists this ribosomal RNA (253 nucleotides) under uncultured bacterium. RNAcentral's name for it is "partial 16S ribosomal RNA". It matches the Rfam family "Bacterial small subunit ribosomal RNA", at positions 524 to 776 of the family's 1533-position model. The record is from RNAcentral.